AGGAAGUGUGAAUGACUGAGUGGCGGACGGGUGAGUAACGCGUGGGCAACCUGCCCCGUACCGGGGGAUAACAGCCGGAAACGGCUGCUAAUACCGCAUAUGCUUUGCGGGCCGCAUGGCCCGCAAAGCAAAACUCCGGUGGUACGGGAUGGGCCCGCGUCUGAUUAGCUGGUUGGCGGGGUAACGGCCCACCAAGGCGACGAUCAGUAGCCGGCCUGAGAGGGCGGCCGGCCACAUUGGGACUGAGACACGGCCCAGACUCCUGCGGGAGGCAGCAGUGGGGAAUAUUGCACAAUGGGGGAAACCCUGAUGCAGCGACGCCGCGUGGGCGAGGAAGUACCUCGGUAUGUAAAGCCCUAUCAGCAGGGAAGAAACAGGACAGUACCUGACUAAGAAGCCCCGGCUAACUACGUGCCAGCAGCCGCGGUAAUACGUAGGGGGCAAGCGUUAUCCGGAUUCACUGGGCGUAAAGGGAGCGCAGGCGGCAUGGCAAGUCUGAUGUGAAAACCCGGGGCCCAACCCCGGGAGUGCAUUGGAAACUGCCAGGCUGGAGUGUCGGAGGGGUAAGCGGAAUUCCUAGUGUAGCGGUGAAAUGCGUAGAUAUU
Molecule: ribosomal RNA, 605 nt
Filed under: uncultured bacterium
Lineage: Bacteria
Description: bacterial SSU rRNA
Rfam family: Bacterial small subunit ribosomal RNA
Source: RNAcentral